AAUUUGGACCUGGAGAUGAUACC
This 23-nucleotide non-coding RNA is filed under the name Cricetulus griseus (Chinese hamster). The record is from RNAcentral. Lineage: Eukaryota; Metazoa; Chordata; Mammalia; Rodentia; Cricetidae.